UUAAGCAUAUCAAUUAGCGGAGGAAAAGAAACCAACAGGGAUUGCCUUAGUAGCGGCGAGUGAACAGGCAAGAGCUCAGAUUUGAAAGCCUUUCGGGGCAUUGUAUUUUGAAGCCUUGGUCCUGGGAAACCGAUGUCUAAGUCUUCUGGAAAGGAGCGCCAUGGAGGGUGAUAGCCCCGUACGACAUUGAACCCACUGUAGGACCUUGGCAUGGAGUCGAGUUGUUUGGGAAUGCAGCUCAAAUGGGUGGUAUGCUCCAUCUAAAGCUAAAUAUCUGCGAGAGACCGAUAGCGAACAAGUACUGUGAAGGAAAGAUGAAAAGAACUUUGAAAAGAGAGUGAAAAAGUACGUGAAAUUGUUGAAAUGGAAGGGUAGGCCGCUAACCACGUAGAGUCGUGUCUGGGGGGAAGAUAAAAGCUGAAGAAUGUAACUCCU
This 435-nucleotide ribosomal RNA is filed under the name Starmerella bombi. Its description in RNAcentral is "eukaryotic LSU rRNA". It matches the Rfam family "Eukaryotic large subunit ribosomal RNA", at positions 34 to 487 of the family's 3401-position model. The record is from RNAcentral. Lineage: Eukaryota; Fungi; Ascomycota; Dipodascomycetes; Dipodascales; Trichomonascaceae.